Panthera uncia (snow leopard) is the source of this 644-nucleotide long non-coding RNA. RefSeq lists it as uncharacterized. Lineage: Eukaryota; Metazoa; Chordata; Mammalia; Carnivora; Felidae. The transcript has 3 exons. The record is from RefSeq and is a predicted model, not a curated record.
UAUAAAAAAAAGAGAGAGCUUAGAGAAAAAAGUUUUCCCAACUUCUCAUUCCGCCUUCAGUUCCAGACUUCAGAGUCACCGUGAUCAGCGACCUUUUUCCGGACAGUUUUUCCCAUUGAUAGUCGCAGCAAACGGAGCUACAAUGUGGAAACCUUAAAGUCAAAGAUGUACUCUGAAUUUCACUGAAAGCAUCAUGAUCCCAAGCAUUAAAGAUCCAACACUACUGUAAUUUCCACAUGACAAUUACAAUUUGAGGAUGUGUCUUCAGAGUCAAAUGGACAUAUAAAGUGGAUUACCGGUAGCAAAAGACAGCUCAUGAUGUAAACACUCAGGGAUGACUUUGCGGGUCAAUAAAAAUAUUUAUGUCACAUGUUUUAAGUAAUGUCUAUUGACUCAUGUUUGAGCUUCCAAUAUAUUUAGUUCUUUUUAAAAAUGGCAAUGUGGGGGCGCCUGCGUGGCUCAGUCGGUUAAGCGACCGACUUCAGCUCAGGUCAUGAUCUCACAGUCCAUGAGUUCGAGCCCCGCGUCGGGCUCUGUGCUGAUAGCUCAGAGCCUGGAGCCUGCUUCAGAUUCUGUGUCUCCCUCUCUGUCUGACCCUCCCUUGUUCGUGCUCUGUCUCUCUCUGUCUCAAAAAUAAAUAAACA